GAUUGUCUUUUUUAACUUCAUCAAGGGAGUUGCUUUGGCUUAGAGGUUUAGGAAGUUCCUGUGGACAAGAGCAGUCAGACUCUGAGUCAGAGCACGUUCGGAAAUGACUGCUGUUGGUGACAAUGGCUGAUGUUGACCGCCUCAUUGGAGGUCAUUGUUAACCCUUUAACUCCCAGAAGUUAUUAGUAUGCAACUUCUUCCUAUCAUGUUGAUAAGGUAACUAGAAGACUCAAACUUAUUAGGUAGAAGUUGUUAUCUUAAUCGCACACCAAAUUCUCAUGACUGAUUUACAAGAAAAUGUGUAGCAGCUGGACAGGAGAGUUCACAAUCAGAUCUUGAGAGUUAAGGGGGUUAGCUUUUGCACAGAAGGUCAUCAUCAGACUCCGACUGAGUUGUCAAUGUGCAUGUCAUCACCUAGAACAUUCCUUUUCAGUUAUUACUCUAUCUGUAAUAUUAAAAAAUAAAUAAUUUGUAAUAUUCAAUAUAAUAAUAUGGCACAUUAAUCCUAAAUUCAAAUAGAGCACAGUUGUUUGCACUCUCCCCACUCCCUCCCCUGCCCUCUUCCUUAAAAAUUCCUACAUCUAAACACCUGCGUGUGACUGAAGUAUAAUAUUAGCAUAUAAUAUGAGCAUUCCAAAGUCAGGACCCCCUGUUAAUUCUCAACUCCUAAGAGUGAGGUCGUAAGAAUAAAGGAAUAAUAACAAUGUCAAGAUGCUCGUGAUCAUUAAACAAAUCCUCCUUGUAAGUACCUUUGGAAAUGUAUAGAGAACAGUAUAAAGAAUAUGCAUACUGAUGUUAGGAUGUAAAGGGUUAAUACCCCCUGGUUUUUAAGUAGAGUCUCCACUCAACGUACAGUCUAUGUCUGAAGAUUAUCCUUGAUUAUCCAUCGUGUUAUGGUUGAUGAUGGCACAACAAAUUCAGAAUGGGACAUAUAGAAAUGUCUGGUCAGUUUUCUGCGUUGAGUUUCUGGAUCUGCCAUUCACCCACAUGUAGUGACCUGGAGCUUGUCCGUCUUCGUUGCGAGAGUAAAGCUGAUGAUCUGUAGUGUGCCAUUCUCUGUCACUGUGGUCAAAGAUUUUCAUAUUCGUCUGCUAUGGGAAAUAUUACAACCAACACACUGUAGAAGUUUCCAGUAUUUGCUUAUGAACUUGAUGUGACUUUCGUUUUUUGUUCGAUAAUGAUCAUGCUUUAAAAUAAAAAGCUGUUAUCUUA
Long non-coding RNA from Pocillopora damicornis (cauliflower coral), 1212 nucleotides. NCBI's taxonomy places the organism in Eukaryota, Metazoa, Cnidaria, Anthozoa, Scleractinia, Pocilloporidae. The record is from RefSeq and is a predicted model, not a curated record.